GGUACUCAGUUCGGAUUGAAGGCUGAAAUUCGCCUUCAUGAAGCUGGAAUUGCUAGUAAUGGCAGGUCAGCAUACUGCCGUGAAUACGUUCCCGGGCCUUGUACACACCGCCCGUCACACCAUGAGAGUUUGUAACACCCAAAGCCGGUGGGGUAACCUUUUGGAGCCAGCCGUCUAAGGUGGGACAGAUGAUUGGGGUGAAGUCGUAACAAGGUACC
RNAcentral lists this ribosomal RNA (218 nucleotides) under uncultured bacterium. RNAcentral describes it as "partial 16S ribosomal RNA". It matches the Rfam family "Bacterial small subunit ribosomal RNA", at positions 1283 to 1500 of the family's 1533-position model. The record is from RNAcentral.